Molecule: ribosomal RNA, 1512 nt
Filed under: uncultured bacterium
Lineage: Bacteria
Description: bacterial SSU rRNA
Rfam family: Bacterial small subunit ribosomal RNA
Source: RNAcentral
AGAGUUUGAUCCUGGCUCAGAACGAACGCUGGCGGCGUGCUUAACACAUGCAAGUCGAACGCGAAAGUAGACUUCGGUCUGCGAGUAGAGUGGCGCACGGGUGAGUAACGCGUAAGUAAUCUACCCUUCUAUCUGGGAUAACAGUGGGAAACUGCUGCUAAUACCGGAUACGGUCUUUGUGUCAUAAGGCAUGAAGAAGAAAGGUGGCCUCUCCUUGGAAGCUACCGUAGAGGGACGAGCUUGCGUACCAUUAGCUAGUUGGUGGGGUAAUGGCCUACCAAGGCUGCGAUGGUUAGCGGGUCUGAGAGGAUGAUCCGCCACACUGGAACUGAAACACGGACCAGACUCCUACGGGAGGCAGCAGUGAGGAAUAUUGCGCAAUGGGGGCAACCCUGACGCAGCGACGCCGCGUGAGUGAAGAAGGAUUUCGGUUCGUAAAGCUCUGUCAAGUGGGAAGAACUGUCAUAGGAUUAAUACCCCUAUGAUUUGACGGUACCACUAAAGGAAGCACCGGCUAACUCCGUGCCAGCAGCCGCGGUAAUACGGAGGGUGCAAGCGUUGUUCGGAAUUACUGGGCGUAAAGGGCGCGUAGGCGGCCUGUUAAGUCAGAUGUGAAAGCCCGGGGCUCAACCCCGGUAGGUCAUCUGAAACUGGUAGGCUUGAGUAUCGGAGAGGAUAGUGGAAUUCCCGGUGUAGAGGUGAAAUUCGUAGAUAUCGGAGGAACACCAGUAGCGAAGCGACUAUCUGGCGAUACUGACGCUGAGGCGCGAAAGCGUGGGGGGAGCAACAGAUAGAUACCUGUAGUCACAGCUGUAGCGAUGUGCACUAGUGUAGGAGUGUGACCGUCUGUGCCGCAGCUAACGCAUUAAGUGCACCGCCUGGGGAGUACGGUCGCAAGAUUAAAACUCAAAGGAAUUGACGGGGGCCCGCACAAGCGGUGGAGUAUGUGGUUUAAUUCGACGCAACGCGCAGAACCUUACCUGGACUUGACAUCCCGAGAAUUUUCUGGAAACAGAAAAGUGCCUCUUCCGAGGAGCUCGGUGACAGGUGCUGCAUGGCUGUCGUCAGCUCGUGUCGUGAGAUGUUGGGUCAAGUCCCGCAACGAGCGCAACCCUCGCCUUUAGUUGCCAGCAUUCAGUUGGGCACUCUAAAGGGACUGCCGGUGUCAAACCGGAGGAAGGUGGGGAUGACGUCAAGUCCUCAUGGCCUUUAUGUCCAGGGCUACACACGUACUACAAUGGCAGGUACAAAGGGCAGCUAACUCGCGAGAGCAAGCGAAUCCCAUAAAACUUGUCUCAGUCCGGAUCGGAGUCUGCAACUCGACUCCGUGAAGUUGGAAUCGCUAGUAAUCGUGGAUCAGCAUGCCACGGUGAAUACGUUCCCGGGCCUUGUACACACCGCCCGUCACACCACGAAAGUCGGUUGUACCAGAAGACGUUGGGCUAACCUUCGGGAAGCAGGCGUCCAAGGUAUGAUCGGUAAUUGGGGUGAAGUCGUAACAAGGUAGCCGUA